UACAGAGGUGGCAAGCGUUGUUCGGAAUUACUGGGCGUAAAGAGCUCGUAGGUGGUUUGUCGCGUUGUCCGUGAAAACUCACAGCUUAACUGUGGGCGUGCGGGCGAUACGGGCAGACUGGAGUACUGCAGGGGAGACUGGAAUUCCUGGUGUAGCGGUGGAAUGCGCAGAUAUCAGGAGGAACACCGGUGGCGAAGGCGGGUCUCUGGGCAGUAACUGACGCUGAGGAGCGAAAGCGUGGGGAGCGAACAGG
This 253-nucleotide ribosomal RNA is filed under the name uncultured bacterium. Its description in RNAcentral is "partial 16S ribosomal RNA". It matches the Rfam family "Bacterial small subunit ribosomal RNA", at positions 524 to 776 of the family's 1533-position model. The record is from RNAcentral.